GCCAAUUUUUAUAAUAUAAAGAUUAGAGAGAAUCAUUUCAAAUUUUCAAUGGCUGUCAUUUUUCGGCUUGUUAAGUUCUAUUUUAUGCAUACUUUUAAGCUAGAACAGUCUGUCUAAAAACUUGUUAUUCUAAGACACAGUAGCGGACACACUUAGGUUCAAAGCACAGGUUUUGCUUUCUUUUAAUUAUAAGUAUAAACACC
Molecule: long non-coding RNA, 203 nt
Filed under: Mytilus galloprovincialis (Mediterranean mussel)
Lineage: Eukaryota; Metazoa; Mollusca; Bivalvia; Mytilida; Mytilidae
Source: RNAcentral